UACGGAGGAUGCAAGCGUUAUCCGGAAUGAUUGGGCGUAAAGCGUCCGUAGGUGGUCAUGUAAGUCUGUGGUUAAAGAGUGGAGCUUAACUCCAUAAAGGCCAUGGAAACUACACGACUAGAGUUAAGUAGGGGUAGAGGGAAUUCCCAGUGUAGCGGUGAAAUGCGUAGAGAUUGGGAAGAACACCGGUGGCGAAAGCGCUCUACUGGACUUGGACUGACACUGAGGGACGAAAGCUAGGGGAGCGAAAGGG
Molecule: ribosomal RNA, 253 nt
Filed under: uncultured bacterium
Lineage: Bacteria
Description: partial 16S ribosomal RNA
Rfam family: Bacterial small subunit ribosomal RNA
Source: RNAcentral